This 468-nucleotide ribosomal RNA is filed under the name uncultured bacterium. RNAcentral's name for it is "partial 16S ribosomal RNA". It matches the Rfam family "Bacterial small subunit ribosomal RNA", at positions 28 to 507 of the family's 1533-position model. The record is from RNAcentral.
GACGAACGCUGGCGGCGUGCUUAACACAUGCAAGUCGAACGGCAAGGUCCUUCUUUUUUUUGGUGCUCGAGUGGCGCACGGGUGCGUAACACGUGAGUAACCUGCCCUUGACUUUGGGAUAACUUCAGGAAACUGGGGCUAAUACCGCAUAGCAGCUCCUGCUGCAUUGUGGGUGUUGUAAAGUUUCGGCGGUUGGCGAUUGACUCUCGGGUUAUUUAGCUGUUGGUGGGGUAGUGGCUUACCAAGGCCUUGACGGGUUGCGGGCCUGAGGGGGUGAGCGGCCACAUUGGGAAGGAGAUACGGCCCAGACGCAGAAGGGAGGCAGGAGUGGGGAAUAUUGCACAAUGGGAGGAAGCCUGAGGCAGCAAAGACGCGUGCGGGAUGACGGACUUCGGGUUGUAAGCCGCUUACGCCUGUGACGAAGCGUGAGUGAAGGUAAUGGGUAAAGAAGCACCGGCUAACUACGUG